RNAcentral lists this ribosomal RNA (253 nucleotides) under uncultured bacterium. Its description in RNAcentral is "partial 16S ribosomal RNA". It matches the Rfam family "Bacterial small subunit ribosomal RNA", at positions 524 to 776 of the family's 1533-position model. The record is from RNAcentral.
UACGGGGGGGGCAAGCGUUGUUCGGAAUUACUGGGCGUAAAGGGCUCGUAGGCGGCCAACUAAGUCGGAUGUGAAAUCCCCAGGCUCAACCUGGGAACUGCAUCCGAUACUGCAGGGCUAGAGUCCGGAAGAGGCGAGUGGAAUUCCUGGUGUAGCGGUGAAAUGCGUAGAGAUCAGGAAGAACACCAGUGGCGAAGGCGCUCUGCUAGGCCGUAACUGACACUGAGGGACGAAAGCUAGGGGAGCGAAUGGG